Molecule: ribosomal RNA, 447 nt
Filed under: uncultured bacterium
Lineage: Bacteria
Description: bacterial SSU rRNA
Rfam family: Bacterial small subunit ribosomal RNA
Source: RNAcentral
AAUCAACGCUGGCGGCGUGCCUCAGACAUGCAAGUCGAACGCGAAAUUUCCCUUCGGGGAGAAAGUAGAGUGGCGCACGGGUGAGUAACACGUAGGUAAUUUGCCUUUGGGUGGGGAAUAACUCAGGGAAACUUGAGCUAAUACCGCAUAAUGCAGCGGCUCGACAUCGCGACAGUUGUUAAAGCGGGGAUUGGAGCAAUCCGACCUCGCGCCUAAAGAGAAGCCUGCGGCAGAUUAGCUAGUUGGUAAGGUAAUGGCUUACCAAGGCGACGAUCUGUAACCGGCCUGAGAGGGCGGUCGGUCACACUGACACUGACAUACGGGUCAGACUCCUACGGGAGGCAGCAGUCGGGAAUUUUGGGCAAUGGGCGCAAGCCUGACCCAGCAACGCGCGUGAAGGAUGAAAUUUUUCGGAAUGUAAACUUCGCAAGAACAGGAAGAAUAAGU